UGGGGAAUUUUGGACAAUGGGCGAAAGCCUGAUCCAGCAAUGCCGCGUGUGUGAAGAAGGCCUUCGGGUUGUAAAGCACUUUUGUCCGGAAAGAAAUCCUUGGCUCUAAUACAGUCGGGGGAUGACGGUACCGGAAGAAUAAGCACCGGCUAACUACGUGCCAGCAGCCGCGGUAAUACGUAGGGUGCAAGCGUUAAUCGGAAUUACUGGGCGUAAAGCGUGCGCAGGCGGUUUGCUAAGACCGAUGUGAAAUCCCCGGGCUCAACCUGGGAACUGCAUUGGUGACUGGCAGGCUAGAGUAUGGCAGAGGGGGGUAGAAUUCCACGUGUAGCAGUGAAUGCGUAGAGAUGUGGAGGAAUACCGAUGGCGAAGGCAGCCCCCUGGGCCAAUACUGACGCUCAUGCACGAAAGCGUGGGGAGCAAACAGGAUUAGAUACCCUGGUAGUCCACGCCCUAAACGAUGUCAACUAGUUGUUGGGGAUUCAUUUCCUUAGUAACGUAGCUAACGCGUGAAGUUGACCGCCUGGGGAGUACGGUCGCAAGAUUAAAACUCAAAGGAAUUGACGGGGUCAUAGCUGUUUCCU
This 584-nucleotide ribosomal RNA is filed under the name uncultured bacterium. RNAcentral's name for it is "partial 16S ribosomal RNA". It matches the Rfam family "Bacterial small subunit ribosomal RNA", at positions 355 to 1375 of the family's 1533-position model. The record is from RNAcentral.